This is a long non-coding RNA of Pangasianodon hypophthalmus (striped catfish), 1003 nucleotides long. RefSeq lists it as uncharacterized. The record is from RefSeq and is a predicted model, not a curated record. The transcript has 3 exons. Lineage: Eukaryota; Metazoa; Chordata; Actinopteri; Siluriformes; Pangasiidae.
CUGUUAACUAUAGAAAAUUUAUUUUAAAUCUAAACAUGUGAUUUGCAGAUGCUCUACUGUUACAGUAAAAUCAUCAACACCUUCUGACCAAUCAGAAGAGAGAUUUUAUUUCAAUAUCAUUUACAUAUAUAGCUGCACCAUUACCAUUAUUUUUAACUCUAACACUUACUCAGGUCCUACGGUACAUAGGUACAUGUGUAUAUUUGCACAUAUCUAUUUAUCUAUAAUAGAUAUUCUAAUUAUUAUGGUGACUUAUACUAUUUGUAUUAUUUUUAUCUUACUGUAAUGCUUUAAUGUACCUGUGGGAUAAAUAAAGGGUUAUCUUAUCGUGGUAAUUUUUGUAUCAGACCGGCAUUUUGUCUCUGAUGUGCUUAAUGUCAGAUUACACGACUGGUAUCAAUCUCAGCAUUGUUUCGCUAUCAUACUGUACUUUCUCAGCAGGAGAAAAACAGUUUUUGAGCCCUACGUGGGCCUCCAUGGCACGGUUUCAGGAGCUGUGAGAAAGCCUACCGCAGAGAGAGAAUGCCAGCCAACUUUCUGGAAAAACAAAACCACCUCCAGAGCAGGCCUGAGAGCUGACGGCCGAGCCAGAACCUGACAACCUCAUUUUCUGCGGAAAGAAACCGAGCUUCCUCCCGGCCUGCUGAUGUGGACAGAUUUGAUACAUGGCUUUGUUAUGGUGGUACAGUGAUACAGGCUACUUCAAAAUGGUUAGCAUUUGCUGUCAACAGGAAGCGCGGCUUGUCCUGCCUCAGACCCACCCUUCCAGAUUUUCCUUCCUGUCUGAAACUGCGUGUUCGGGCCAGCGGAGAGCCUGGGCCGUGAUCUCAGGAAGACCUGCAGGAAGAUCAGCAUGUGACCUGAUUUCUAACUCAACAACACUACUACUAACUCAACGCAACUAGUGACUGGUGAGCUACAAUAUUUAAUUCCCAGCCCUACUGCUGUUACACCUCUAAGCGUUUUUUUUUAAAGAGAAUAUUUGUAAAAAUGACAAACCCUG